GAAGUGAUGAAGUAUCGACAGGCAUGUUGUCUUGAUAUAUGUAUUAUUAUGUGUACGUGUUUGGUGGUAGAACGAAGGAAGAGAGACAGAGAGAGGGAGGUGUUUUCCUUUUCUCUUGAUUUAUAUUUGUUUUAUAUAAGACCAAAGUCUGAAGAUGCAAGGGAAUUCAUUUUGAUUCCGAAGAAUUUUCUAACUGAUAAAAUAAGAUAACAUGACGGAUUCAUAUCAGAGGUGUUAAUAGUUCCAUAUUAUGUAUUGAAAUAUCUACAACAGUUAUCGAUAAUAUUAUGUAUUAUUAUGUGUACGUGUUUGGUGGUAGAACGAAGGAAGAGAGACAGAGAGAGGGAGGUGUUUUCCUUUUCUCUUGAUUUAUAUUUGUUUUAUAUAAGACCAAAGUCUGAAGAUGCAAGGGAAUUCAUUUUGAUUCCGAAGAAUUUUCUAACUGAUAAAAUAAGAUAACAUGACGGAUUCAUAUCAGAGGUGUUAAUAGUUCCAUAUUAUGUAUUGAAAUAUCUACAACAGUUAUCGAUAAUAUUGUAAAAUGAAAGAAACUAGAAAGAAUAUAAAAUUUAAUCGUGGUUGGACAUUGUAUUUACAUCCACAAGAGUUUUUAUUUUCAUUAUAUAUAUAUAUAUAUAUAUAUAAUAGACUCUAAAUUGUUUAAAGGAUAUUAGAGAAUUUUUUAAUAAUACUAAUUUAUUGUACCGCUAGGGCAUUGCCCCCACAUGCUCAACCUAUCAAUAAUCUCUAGCAAAAACACAAUAUAUCUUCUUAAGAGCUACAAACUACAACAAUAUAUACACACACCAGAUUAAUCCAAAUUAAUAUGUUUAUGCUUUUAUCUUUUUACAACUUUGAACAAAACGAAAGGAGAAUGUACUUCACUUAAAUGCACUUAUUGAUUAUAUUCAUUUUUUUAAUGUUUGUGGGCUUGUGAUGGUUUUCUAUGUUAUGAUUGUAUUUAAUUUUUUUUUAUUUUUUUUUAUUUUUUUUUAUUACUGUAUGUUUUUUUUAAUCCAUAUGUGUGCAUGAUAUGAUACCAUUUGUAUAGUUAUCAAAGAGUUUAAUUGAGCUAAUCUAUGGAUCCACUGUAUAACCUAAGCAUAUUUGAAAACUAAAUUAUUUUAGAUAAAUAUAAAAAAACCCUUGAGAUUCAUGAUACAACCAUAUUAUUCGUGUUAUAGAAUAAUAUAAAUCAUAUCUUGAGAGCUCAUUUAAUAGCUUAAGCUUUUAGGUUGAGAUGGUUCUCUGACAUGGUAUCAGAGCUUAACAUAACCUCUGUUUUUCGAUCCACCAAUAUGGCCUCGUCUCCUUCAAACUCGAUUACUCCCAUCAACAUCCAUAGCCUUGUCACAAUUAAACUUACCAAGGAUAAUUACCUUCUUUGGAAAACUCAAAUAGUCCCCUAUCUACGUGGUCAACGUCUGUUUGGGUUCGUUGAUGGAAUCAUCUCUAGUCCUGGCCCCACCAUUCCUAAUCUUGAAGCAGCAACCUCCCAAACCGAUCCCACUGAGAUAUCAUAUCCCAACUACAUUACCUAGUAUGAUCAAAAUCAGGUUGUUCUAAGUGCACUGGUUUCCUACUUAUCCGAGAAUAUCCUGGCACAAAUGGUUGGCCUCACAACUUCAAGAGAAGUCUGGGUAGCUCUCGAGAGAAUGUUCGCGUCUCACUCCUCUACCCACACCAUACAAACUCGGUAAUUUUUUGCAUGCACCAAGAAAGGUAACUUGUCAAUUUCUGAUUACUUUCAAAUAAUGAGAUCAUUCUCAGAUAACCCCUUCAAAACCAUGAAUUUACAGCUUACCUUUUUGGUGGUCUCGAUACUUCUUAUGAUGCUAUUGCCACGUCAAUUUCCACUCAAAUUGAUAGAAUGACUUUAGAAGAUAUGUUUAAGAAUCUUCUUGUGUUUGAGUUACGAUUAGAGCAGCAACAAAUUGCCAUUGACACCUCUGUUGGCUUAGUGAACGUGGCCCCAAAGAAUGACUACAGGUCGCGCGGUGGAAAAUAUCCACAGCGGCAAUGCUUCCCUCCGAACCAGUCCCAUGGUUCCAACAACAGAGGAAGGGGACGUGGAAAUAGAGGAAGAGGCCCACCUACAAACUACUCCUCCAACCUAAAACCACAAUGCCAAGUUUGUGGAACAACUGGCCACACCGUCAUUCAAUGUUAUUGUAGGUUCGAUCAUGCCUACCAAGGCACUCUUUCUAAUAUGGUGGCUUAUAUGACAUCUCCCUCAACACAACAUGAUACCAACUGGUAUCUGGAUAUUGGUUCAACAAACCACCUCACCAACAACUUCAGCAACUUGUAUGUGCGAUCAGAACCUUAUCUUGGAAACGACUACAUUCAUGUCAGCGACGGGGCAGGUUUACCUAUAAAAAAUAUUGGUUUCACCACUCUUUCAACCCUUACAAAUUCUUUUAUUUUAAAUAAGUUACUGCAUGUACCUCAGAUUAAGAAGAAUUUUAUUUCUGUUAGCCAAUUUAUGAGUGAUAAUAAUGUUUAUCUUGAAUUUCACUCUUCUUCUUUUUUGGUGAAGGACAAGGCAACAGGGAGAGUUCUUUUGCACGAUAAACCUAAAGACAACCUCUACAUCUUUCUGACCUCCAUGUCACCAAUAAACCAUCCUCAAACAUACUUAUCUCAACGAGCACCUCUUGAUGUCUGGCAUUGCCGAAUGGGACAUCCUUCCUAUCAAAUUAUCUGGCAUCUUGUUUCCAAAUUCUCUUUACCUACUUUGUCUAAUAAAAUUUUGGGUAUUUGUUCGGCUUAUCAAAAGAAAAAAAGUCAUCGCCUUCCUUUUUCUAGUUCUCAAUCAAUCUCUAAUCAUCCUCUUGAAUUAAUUUUCUCCAAUGUUUGAAUCCAUCUCCUAGCAUGUCAACCAAUGGCAAUAAAUACUAUGUUUCGUUUGUUGAUCAUUUUAGCAAAUUUAUAUGGUUAUUUCCAAUCCCUAACAAAUCAAGUGUCAUGCAAAUUUUUUGCUCAUUUCAAAAACUUGUUGAAUGCCAAUUUAAUUGUAAGAUAAAAUCUGUACAAACUGAUUGGGAUGAGAAGUAUCGCUCUCUUCACACAUAGUUUGCAAAUAUUGGCAUUUAACACCGAAUCUCAUGCCCUCAUAUGUCCCAACAAAAUGGAUUCGUUGAAUGGAAACACCGUCACAUCGUUGAAACGGGCCUCUCACUUUUAUCCCAUAGUCAUGUUCCUCACACCUAUUGGGAUAAUGUUUUUCUCAUGGCCACAUAUCUCAUUAAUUUCCUUCCCACCACCCAUCUUAGCUUUUCACCAUUUGAAAAACUCUACAAACAUGCUCCUGAUUUUUCAUCUCUAAAUUUUUUUGGGUGUGCUUGUUUUCCUUUUCUUCACCCAUUCAAUCGCAACAAACUUGACUUCAGAUGUAAAUGUUGUGUCUUCAUUGAUUAUAGCAACUCUCAUUGAGGAUUUAAAUGUCUUGAUAGAUCCAUUUGCAAGAUAUUUGUUUCAAGACAUGUGAUCUUCGAUGAAGGGUCUUUCCCUUUUGCUAACUUAGAUGCAAACCCAAUAUCAAAGAACCAUCUCAAUCUAAAAGCUUAAGCUAUUAGAUGAGGUUCUAAAAUAUGAUUUUUAUUAUUCUCUAAUAAUUCGAUAGUUUUACCCACAUUUACCUAGAAUUUUGUUCAUGUUUUAUAUAUAAAAUACGUUGAAAAUAUUUCUUUUAUAUUUUAAAGGCACUUUCGGAUGUGAAAUUCUAAAAUGAGUAAUUUAGAGAUAAAAUUCAGACAAUGUUCCAUCUCGCGUCGAAUAUUGACAAAUUUAACCUCUAAUCGAUUUUUUUGCAGAACUUGAGUUGUAGAGGUCGAAAUGAAGUGAUUCCAGUGGCAUUAGAAAGCUAACAUCCAUACAUUUCUAUAUGUAUAUGACAGAGAGAGGGAGGUGUUUUCCUUUUCUCUUGAUUUAGGAGGUGGAUGCUACAAGGAAAGAAGUGGGGGAGUGGAUGUAUUUAUAAUUAAUUAAGGUUUAGAGUUACCUUCCU
This 4009-nucleotide long non-coding RNA is filed under the name Populus trichocarpa (black cottonwood). Its description in RNAcentral is "long non-coding RNA (PTRI_LNC000042)". The record is from RNAcentral. Lineage: Eukaryota; Viridiplantae; Streptophyta; Magnoliopsida; Malpighiales; Salicaceae.